RNAcentral lists this non-coding RNA (30 nucleotides) under Mus musculus (house mouse). The record is from RNAcentral. Lineage: Eukaryota; Metazoa; Chordata; Mammalia; Rodentia; Muridae.
UAUCUAGUUGUCGGAAAUUUCCAUCUCCCA